Molecule: ribosomal RNA, 1441 nt
Filed under: uncultured bacterium
Lineage: Bacteria
Description: bacterial SSU rRNA
Rfam family: Bacterial small subunit ribosomal RNA
Source: RNAcentral
GAUGAACGCUAGCUACAGGCUUAACACAUGCAAGUCGAGGGGCAGCAUGGUCUUAGCUUGCUGAGGCCGAUGGCGACCGGCGCACGGGUGAGUAACACGUAUCCAACCUGCCGUCUACUCUUGGACAGCCUUCUGAAAGGAAGACUAAUACAAGAUGGCAUCAUGAGUCCGCAUGUUCACAUGAUUAAAGGUAUUCCGGUAGACGAUGGGGAUGCGUUCCAUUAGAUAGUAGGCGGGGUAACGGCCCACCUAGUCUUCGAUGGAUAGGGGUUCUGAGAGGAAGGUCCCCCACAUUGGAACUGAGACACGGUCCAAACUCCUACGGGAGGCAGCAGUGAGGAAUAUUGGUCAAUGGGCGAGAGCCUGAACCAGCCAAGUAGCGUGAAGGAUGACUGCCCUAUGGGUUGUAAACUUCUUUUAUAAAGGAAUAAAGUCGGGUAUGGAUACCCGUUUGCAUGUACUUUAUGAAUAAGGAUCGGCUAACUCCGUGCCAGCAGCCGCGGUAAUACGGAGGAUCCGAGCGUUAUCCGGAUUUAUUGGGUUUAAAGGGAGCGUAGAUGGAUGUUUAAGUCAGUUGUGAAAGUUUGCGGCUCAACCGUAAAAUUGCAGUUGAUACUGGAUAUCUUGAGUGCAGUUGAGGCAGGCGGAAUUCGUGGUGUAGCGGUGAAAUGCUUAGAUAUCACGAAGAACUCCGAUUGCGAAGGCAGCCUGCUAAGCUGCAACUGACAUUGAGGCUCGAAAGUGUGGGUAUCAAACAGGAUUAGAUACCCUGGUAGUCCACACGGUAAACGAUGAAUACUCGCUGUUUGCGAUAUACUGCAAGCGGCCAAGCGAAAGCGUUAAGUAUUCCACCUGGGGAGUACGCCGGCAACGGUGAAACUCAAAGGAAUUGACGGGGGCCCGCACAAGCGGAGGAACAUGUGGUUUAAUUCGAUGAUACGCGAGGAACCUUACCCGGGCUUAAAUUGCAGAUGAAUUACGGUGAAAGCCGUAAGCCGCAAGGCAUCUGUGAAGGUGCUGCAUGGUUGUCGUCAGCUCGUGCCGUGAGGUGUCGGCUUAAGUGCCAUAACGAGCGCAACCCUUGUUGUCAGUUACUAACAGGUUCCGCUGAGGACUCUGACAAGACUGCCAUCGUAAGAUGUGAGGAAGGUGGGGAUGACGUCAAAUCAGCACGGCCCUUACGUCCGGGGCUACACACGUGUUACAAUGGGGGGUACAGAGGGCCGCUACCACGCGAGUGGAUGCCAAUCCCCAAAACCUCUCUCAGUUCGGACUGGAGUCUGCAACCCGACUCCACGAAGCUGGAUUCGCUAGUAAUCGCGCAUCAGCCACGGCGCGGUGAAUACGUUCCCGGGCCUUGUACACACCGCCCGUCAAGCCAUGGGAGCCGGGGGUACCUGAAGUGCGUAACCGCGAGGAGCGCCCUAGGGUAAAACUGGUG